UGCCAGGAAACUGUGAUGUGAUACUUCCAAGCACAUAUCUGACUGCCUUGUGAGGAAACAUGAGUAUUUCUGAGUUUUCUGGAG
Molecule: small nucleolar RNA, 84 nt
Organism: Chrysolophus pictus (golden pheasant)
Lineage: Eukaryota; Metazoa; Chordata; Aves; Galliformes; Phasianidae
Source: Ensembl